AUGGCACUCCUCGCGCUCCGCCUCGGCCACGGCAGCAUCCUCCCCGCCCCGCCGCUCCGCCCCCAGCGCCAGCGCCAGCACCUCGUCGUCUCCUGCAGCGCCGUGAGCGACGGGGGCGCGGCGGUGGUGUGGUUCAAGCAUGACCUCCGCCUCGACGACCACCCGGGCCUCGUCGCUGCCUGCGCCGAGCCCAGCCGCCCCGUCGUGCCCCUCUACGUCUUCGACAGCCGCAUCCUCGCCGACACAAGGCUGGAACUUCUACUUUUUGCUUUGAAAGACCUUAAGUUGGCAUUGAAGUCUCAACGGUCUGAUCUGCUCAUAGGCUUGGGAAAUGCUGAAGAUGCUGUUCUGAAACUCGCAAACGAGGUACAAGCGGGUGUCAUUUAUACAGAAGAGGAAGUUGAACACAGUGUGUGCAGUGUUUUAGCCAAUGUUGAAUCUUCUUUGUCUAAUGGAUCGUUCACACGGGGAAACCCUCCUGAGAUAAAGUUCUGGACUGCCCCAUUGUAUGAUUAUAAGAGUUUGCGGCAACUGUCAACAUCACGCAACCAAUUUUUGAAUGAGAAAUUCUCGACAACUACAGCUCUCCCUGCCCCCACUCUUCCUACUCUAAAUGUGGAGUUAGACACAGUUUCCUGUUCAGGUUCUCUACCCACACUUGAAGAACUAAAGGUAUUCCUGAAAGAGAGCAGAAUGGCACAAGAUAAUUGGGUUCCUAUCAAGAGCACGUCAGCAAGAUCUAUGCUAAAAGCCGCCCUCAUUCAGAGGAAGAUUAAAAGUAAUGUUUCCUUAAGUGACGGCGAUGGAGGAAACAUAGAAGAUAUCACCACAAGUGCUGGUGCAUCAGGGAGGAAAAUAGCUGGUUCAAUGUUUGCAUCGGAAAGUUCACUUGAAGUUAGAGGUGGAACGGAUAUUACUCUGGAUGCUUUAGAAGCUUACCUGAAAUACCUAGAAGGCACAGGAAAGGCUAGUUGGCAAGAGUUGCAUGAUAAGGUGCGCUUUGCUGAAACCAGGGAUGGUGCUUCGUUUCACACGUUAUUUGGUAAUGCAAUUCAGCUUGGAGUCAUAUCUAGGAGGAGAGCUUACCAAGAAACUAUUCAAUAUGAGAGAGAUCGCAAUGCUGGCUUUCUAUCACCGUUUGGAUACUCAACCCCUACAGUGACAUCAGCAGUAGAUGCUAUCUGUUCAUUGGAGUGGUACUGGCUCUUGGCAUUGAAAUCCCAAGUAUCCAUUGAGGAAAAUUAUCCUUUAAAGUUUUGGAGAUGGAAGGGUUAUCUUAUACAGUAUACAUCUGUUGGCCAUGAAGGUCCUGCAGUUCUUCUCGUGCAUGGCUUUGGAGCUUCCUUGCAGCACUUUCGUGAUAAUAUCAGCAACAUUGCUGAUGAAGGACACCGAGUUUGGGCAAUUACCCUUCUUGGCUUUGGGAAAUCAGAGAAACCAAAUGUUGACUAUUCAGAACUUCUGUGGUCAGAAUUACUGAGGGACUUCAUUGUUGAUGUUGUGAGGGAGCCUGUUCAUCUUGUAGGCAACUCUAUUGGAGGUUAUAUCUGCGCUAUUGCUGCUGGCUUAUGGCCUUCCCUUGCAAAUUCUCUUGUUCUUCUGAACUCAGCUGGUUCAGUUGUUCCAAAUUACUCCUUCAUCCCACUGAGUAAAGAAGGACGGACCUCAUGGCUUUCAAGGUUGCAGGCACGCCUCCUUUUGCUCUUUUUGAGGUCAAGGGCAGGAGGCAUUCUCAAGGGAUACUAUCCUACUAGAACUGAACGGGUUGACAAGCCACUCGUGGAUGAGAUUAUAAGAGCUUCAUAUGACCCUGGUGCAACAACAGUUAUCGAGAGCGUAUUCAACUUCAAUCUUUCAAUUCCUCUUAAUUUUCUAUUCGAUUCUUUUGGAGGGAACAUCUUAGUUAUUCAGGGAAUAAAAGAUCCGCUUAUAAAAUCCGAGUCAUUCGUUUCCAUGCUUAGAGAGCAUUGCAGCAAGGUCCAAAUUAGGGAGUUAAAUGCAGGUCAUGCUCCGCAUGAUGAAGUUCCUGAUGAAGUGAACUCCUUACUGUCUGAAUGGAUGAAAACGAACAAGACUGAACUUAAGCCAGCUUUGGAGAAGUCCAAGGCAAUUUAG
RNAcentral lists this ribosomal RNA (2115 nucleotides) under Triticum aestivum (bread wheat). Its description in RNAcentral is "partial small subunit ribosomal RNA". Lineage: Eukaryota; Viridiplantae; Streptophyta; Magnoliopsida; Poales; Poaceae. The record is from RNAcentral.